CUUUUCUUAUCUUAGUGGCGGACGGGUGAGUAACGCGUGGAUAACCUGGCCCAUACAGGGGGAUAGCAGCUGGAAACGGCUGGUAAUACCGCAUAAGCGCACGGUACGGCAUCGUACGGUGUGAAAAACUCCGGUGGUAUGGGAUGGGUCCGCGUCUGAUUAGGCAGUUGGCGGGGUAAAGGCCCACCAAACCGACGAUCAGUAGCCGGCCUGAGAGGGUGGGCGGCCACAUUGGGACUGAGACACGGCCCAAACUCCUACGGGAGGCAGCAG
This 273-nucleotide ribosomal RNA is filed under the name uncultured bacterium. RNAcentral describes it as "partial 16S ribosomal RNA". It matches the Rfam family "Bacterial small subunit ribosomal RNA", at positions 81 to 354 of the family's 1533-position model. The record is from RNAcentral.